CAUACACACACUCCUCCCUUUUGGUCCUUCCCUCCCUCUUUCUCUCUAUAAGUUUAUAGGUUUGGGGAGGUCUGCUCAAAGACUAACAGUGUGAGUGGCUUUUCAAAGCGUUUUCUUUAAAGACACUAAGUACAGGCUCUUAGCUGUUCACUGAUGCCCUCUCUAUCUGGCUACUAUCUCCCCUAGUCUCUUUCCCACGGUUUAACCUUACCUUGUUCACUUACACUGCCUUCAGAAAGUAUCCAUACCCCUUGACGUAUUCCACAUUUUGUUAUGUUACAGGCUGAGUUCAAAAUGGAUGAAAUAUACAGUAUCAGUCAAAGGUGUGUCCAAACAUUUGACUGGUACUGUAAGUAUUUAUUGAAAAUGAAACACAGAAAUAUCUCAUUAACAUAAGUAUUCACCCCCGUGAGUCAAUGCUUUCUAUAAGUGUCUUCGGUAGCGAUUACAGCUGUUAGUCUUUCUGGGUAAGUCUAUAAGGCCGGGUCUAGACUUGACAGUUCAUGCAGCUUUAGAGUUCUGAUCAUGGAAUUCUGUCAUGUAUCUACAUUUAAAUGUGUCCAACAAUGUGUCCGGAUUCCCCAUUCCCAUACUAUAUAUCCAAAUGCCAGUAGGCAUUCUACAAAUGGUGGAAUAGGCAAAAUAUUAUAACACAACAACUGAUGGCAGUAGCUAACUACUGUAGCUAACUAGCCAGCUAACCUCUGUAGGUUAGCAUAACUCUAGCUAAACAAAAAAUAUUUUUUCUAAAUAUUAGGUAGCUGGCUAGCAUUUUAUGAGACCAGCAAACACGUUCCUCACACGCUAGGAAUGUAUUUCUUCCAACAUCAUAAUGAAAUGGUACCUCUCGGUCCAAAACACAAGUUUUCUGGAGACUUGUGGGAGGAGUGCUGAUGAUGUUGCCCACUGUAUGCACUUUCGGUAGCCUGAUUGCGUCCAGACUGAGGAGAAAUCCACACAUAAUGCAUCCCACAGAUCUGAACACAAGAACUCCACAAAGCCACUUUUGUGCAUCUAGACCCGUCUUUUCAAUGCCAUCUUCGUAUUCUGAUAGCAGAAGUCGUAUGUAGGUGUCAAGUGUAGACACGACCUAAGAGCUGUCCACACCUGGAUUGUGUAACAUUUGCCCAUUAGUAUUUUCUGAAUUCUUCAAGCUCUGUCAAAUUGGUUGUUGAUUAUUGCUAGACAACCAUUUUCAAGUCUUGCCAUAGAUUUUCAGCAGAUUUAAGUCAAAAAUGUUACUCAGCCACUCAGGAACAUUCGCUGUCUUCUUAGUAAGCAACUCCAGUGUAGAUUUGGACUUGAGUUUUAGGUUAUUGUCCUGCUGAAAGGUGAAUUCAUCUUCCAGGGUCUGGUGGAAAGCAGACUGAACAAGGUUUUCCUCUAGUAUUUUGCUUGUGCUUAGCUUUAUUCCGUUUCUUUUUUAUCCUGAAAAACUCCCCAAGCAUAACCAUAACAUGAUGCAGCCACCACUAUGCUUGAAAAUAUGAAGAGUGGUACUCAGUAAUGUGUUGUAUUGGAUUUGCCCCAAACAUAACACUUUGUAUUCAUGACAAAAAGUGAAUUGCUUUGCCACAUGUUUUGCAGGAUAACUUUAGUGCCUUGUUGUAAACAGGCCUUGGAAAACCUCCCUGGUCUUUGUGGUUGAAUCUGUGUUUGAAAUUCACUGCUCAACUGAGGGACCUUACAGAUAAUUGUAUGUGUGGGGUACAGAGAUGAGGUAGUCAUUCAAAAAUAAUGUUAAACACUGUUAUUCCACACCGAAUGAGUCCAUGCAACUUAUUAUGUGACUUGUUAAGCACAUUUUUAUUCCUGAACUUAUUUAGUCUUGCAAAUAAAAAAGGGGUUGAAUACUUAUUGACUCAAGACAUUUCAUUUUUUAUGAAUUUGUUAACAUUUCGAAGAACAUAAUUCCACUUUGACAUUAUGGGCUAUAGUUUGUAGGACAGUGACAAAAAAUCCCUAUUUAAUCCAUUUUAAAUUUAGGCUGUAACUUAACAAAAUGGGGAAAAAGUGAAGGGGUGUGAACACACUUGUAACCCCCUGAAC
This 2049-nucleotide long non-coding RNA is filed under the name Salmo salar (Atlantic salmon). RNAcentral describes it as "lncRNA (ENSSSAG00000088943.1)". Lineage: Eukaryota; Metazoa; Chordata; Actinopteri; Salmoniformes; Salmonidae. The record is from RNAcentral.